GGACUGAAUCAGGACCUCAUGCACUCUAGGUAAUGUUCUGCCACUCAACUAGCACCCUGGCCCUGUGCUUUCAACCAGAAGACACCACAGUGGAGAGCGGUACAGUAGAGCUACAGCAGGGGGGAACUGCCUUAGUUACUCAACCUCAGCUACUCAGGAAAGUAGCCACAAACCGCUUUCAGAAGUCUAACUCUGUGAAGGCAUUUUCUACUUGUUUCAAUGCCUUCUAAGACUUAGUUUCUAGAAAGCUGGAAGAUCCUGAACUUAGAUCUGAAAUUCACUAGAUACAGUAUUUACUCUCUCAGUCUCAACUUCCUUGCCAGAAAAAAGUUGUGCAAAUCCAUGUGGCUCCAUUAGCCAUGGAGUAAUGAAAGACUGACUACAAAAAAGCCUCACUCCAAUGCUGUUUUCCUUACACUGCAUCAGCUGGCCAAGUGAGAUUAGCUGAUUCUUUCCCUCCUCAGUUUUCAGCAAGAAACAGACUAUUCUGAAAGAUAAGGUGCCAUGUGUUCUAGAUACUUCAGAAACCACCAGCAUCAGGCUCCAGCAGCUCAUGAUGCAGUUCGUGGCCAACCUAGGUCACCAGUUUAUCUCCAAUAACUACUCAGAAAAAGCCAAAGUGGAGCUGUGGCUGAAAUCAUAGUACCAGCUUGGAGCAAAAGCAGCUCAAGGACAGCAGGCUAAGCUGAGGUUCAAGCCCCAGGACUGGCCAAAAACAAAAAACAAAAAACCACCAAAUCUUUUAAGUGUCAGGUAAUUCAACUAUCAUUUAUUUAGGAGGGCGGAGGAUUAAGUACUAGGACUUGAGCUCAAGACACUCAGGAUUUAUCACAGCUGGUGCUCUACCACUUGGGACAUGCCUCCAGACUGUUUCAAAGGUUUAUUAUUACUAAGCCAUCAUCUUCACCCCAGAUCACAGAUCUUGUAUCCACAGGUCCUGUGGUUGUAGUGAUAUUACUUCUGGAAAUAUCCCUCAGGGAGAUCUGCUCAAAGCCAACUUCAUCACUCAAUUAAGAGACACACAAAAUGCAGUUACCCUAUGCAGCAGAACCACUCCUUGUCCACCCCUUAGUUUUUCUCUCAUCAGGAGGGGUCAUCGGUAACUCUCAACCCUGGCUGCUCAUUAGAAUCAUUUAGGAAUGUUGUAUAGAUCCCUGGUCCUCACCUCAGCUAUGCUGAGUCAAACUACCCAGGAGAGGAUCAAAUAUACCUCACAGUUUAGUAAACCAUUUGGUUCACUGAAAUAAAAGCACCCACGCUGCCUUUUUCUUGUGUAUCAGUCUCAGAUUCAUCUUUUCAGCACAUAUUUUGUAAAUUCCCAAUAAGAGCUCUUGAAAGUUCUUAUAAGAAAAGUCCUUACAGAACCAAGAAAAAAAGCACAGUAUCACAGAGGUCACAGUGGGGUAGAUAAUUCAACUCACUCUAGAACAACAGUUCAAUGUGUCUUUCAAAUAACAUCUUCAGAUUUCUCCUUUCAACACAUAUUGUAUACAGACAGUGUCAGCAGCUUGGCCACAUUUCCCCCCAUGUCCCCAGGGGGUGUCAGCCCC
Long non-coding RNA from Perognathus longimembris pacificus (Pacific pocket mouse), 1550 nucleotides. RefSeq lists it as uncharacterized. The record is from RefSeq and is a predicted model, not a curated record. The transcript is spliced from 3 exons. NCBI's taxonomy places the organism in Eukaryota, Metazoa, Chordata, Mammalia, Rodentia, Heteromyidae.